Molecule: ribosomal RNA, 1173 nt
Filed under: Micromonospora parastrephiae
Lineage: Bacteria; Bacillati; Actinomycetota; Actinomycetes; Micromonosporales; Micromonosporaceae
Description: partial 23S ribosomal RNA
Rfam family: Bacterial large subunit ribosomal RNA
Source: RNAcentral
GGUGGAGCGUUGUAUGGCCGCAGAGAGCAGGGGGAAGCGACUGUUUACUAAAAACACAGGUCCAUGCGAAGAAGUAAUUCGAUGUAUAUGGACUGACGCCUGCCCGGUGCUGGAACGUUAAGGGGACCUGUUAGCUCUUCGGGGCGAAGCGGAGAACUUAAGCGCCAGUAAACGGCGGUGGUAACUAUAACCAUCCUAAGGUAGCGAAAUUCCUUGUCGGGUAAGUUCCGACCUGCACGAAUGGCGUAACGACUUCCCCACUGUCUCAACCACAGGCCCGGCGAAAUUGCAGUACGAGUAAAGAUGCUCGUUACGCGCGGCAGGACGGAAAGACCCCGGGACCUUUACUAUAGCUUGACAUUGGUACUCGAAUUAGCUUGUGUAGGAUAGGUGGGAGCCGGUGAAGUCCAUACGCCAGUAUGGGUGGAGGCAAUCUUGAAAUACCACUCUGGUUGAUUUGGGUAUCUAACUUCGGACCGUUAUCCGGUUCAGGGACAGUGUCUGGUGGGUAGUUUAACUGGGGCGGUUGCCUCCUAAAAGGUAACGGAGGCGCCCAAAGGUUCCCUCAGCCUGGUUGGCAAUCAGGUGUUGAGUGCAAGUACACAAGGGAGCUUGACUGUGAGACUGACAGGUCGAGCAGGGACGAAAGUCGGGACUAGUGAUCCGGCACUUGCGAGUGGAAGCGGUGUCGCUCAACGGAUAAAAGGUACCCCGGGGAUAACAGGCUGAUCUUCCCCAAGAGUCCAUAUCGACGGGAUGGUUUGGCACCUCGAUGUCGGCUCGUCGCAUCCUGGGGCUGUAGCAGGUCCCAAGGGUUGGGCUGUUCGCCCAUUAAAGCGGUACGCGAGCUGGGUUUAGAACGUCGUGAGACAGUUCGGUCCCUAUCCGCCGUGCGCGUAGGAUACUUGAGAAGGGCUGUCCCUAGUACGAGAGGACCGGGACGGACGAACCUCUGGUGUGCCAGUUGUCCCGCCAGGGGCACGGCUGGUUAGCUACGUUCGGAAGGGAUAACCGCUGAAAGCAUCUAAGCGGGAAGCCUGCUUCAAGAUGAGGUAUCCCACCCACCUUUGGUGGGGUAAGGCCCCCAGCUAGACGACUGGGUUGAUAGGCCGGAAAUGUAAGCCCGGUAACGGGUUCAGUUGACCGGUACUAAUAGGCCGAGGACUUGACUAC